RNAcentral lists this long non-coding RNA (1106 nucleotides) under Phasianus colchicus (ring-necked pheasant). Its description in RNAcentral is "lncRNA (ENSPCLG00000014376.1)". The record is from RNAcentral. Lineage: Eukaryota; Metazoa; Chordata; Aves; Galliformes; Phasianidae.
CCAAGUGUACAGAGUCAGGAAACAAUUUAUUAAGGGCAGGGUCUGGCUUUAGCUGACAUGGUAGAAAAGCACCUCACCGUGCAGUGCUGGAGAGUCUUCAGGUACAGAUGCUGGACUCUAGAGCAGCUCUCAUUGCUGCAAAUGAAACAGUCAGAAAUUAGAUGGGAAAUGUAAUUAUAGAAAAUUCAGGAUUAGUGGACACGAAGCAGCCUUGGUGAGGGUCUGUGGUUCACAUAGUCUAUUAUAGCCACCUAGGCUUCUGGGAGGUUAAUCAACUGCUGGAAAAUGAGUUAGCUCAGAAGCACUGCUACUGAGCCACUGCAGCUGCACCAGGCAGUGCAGAGGGGGCUAAUGAAUGCCCCAAGGUCCAGUAGGGUGGCAGGAACGCAGUUGAAUCAUGGGGAAACUGUGACAUCACUGGGUGGACUCAUAGCAGAGACUGAAAGGAAAAGUCUUAGUCUUCUGGAAAUCCCCAGCUGAAUACUGUGCAGGGAGGGAAUAAUACUUCUACUAGCUCUUCAAAAGAAGGGUACCAUAUAUGUACAUAGUCUCGUGUCACAGUUAAAAGGAAUAUUUCCAUCUUACUCCUUGUGCAAGAAUGUUCAAAGCAGGAAUGGCAAAGGUAGACAUCCAAAUGAUAGUGCUGCUCAGGGAGAAACUUAUGACUCAGUCUUCCUGGAAUUUACAAAAUUUACAUCCUCCUACUUAUUCCACAUUGCAGCUUUUUGUCACGUUUAUUCUUAGCAUCCUGAAUACAAAAUGUACAUGGAAAAAAGGGAGAGAAGCUGGUUGUCACAUUACCUCCCUUCACCUCCUAGUGACUACUUCCUCAAUAAGGAUUAAAAAAAAGGCAUUCUUACAGCUGGAAAACCCCAGGGUCCAGUUUGGAGCACCCAUCAUAGUCAAGAGCUUGUAGCUGGUUAGAUCAGCUGCUGCCCAAAUACUGUCGCUCUGGAUGUUCUGAAAAAAAGGCUUUUCCACUGAAAUCUGUUAUUGCCUCCUUGCAAAAUGAGAAUGACAUAUUUUCUCCACACUAGUUAUUUGAAUGAAUAGUCUACUAAGAUCAGGACAGUGUCCAUGAGACAAUAAAUCAUCCAUUUUGCUCA